AAUAGAUACCCGGGUAGUCCACGCCGUAAACGAUGAGUGCUAAGUGUUAGAGGGUUUCCGCCCUUUAGUGCUGCAGCUAACGCAUUAAGCACUCCGCCUGGGGAGUACGGCCGCAAGGCUGAAACUCAAAGGAAUUGACGGGGGCCCGCACAAGCGGUGGAGCAUGUGGUUUAAUUCGAAGCAACGCGAAGAACCUUACCAGGUCUUGACAUCCCCUGCCAACCCUAGAGAUAGGGCGUUCCCCUUCGGGGGACAGAGUGACAGGUGGUGCAUGGUUGUCGUCAGCUCGUGUCGUGAGAUGUUGGGUUAAGUCCCGCAACGAGCGCAACCCUUGAUCUUAGUUGCCAGCAUUCAGUUGGGCACUCUAAGGUGACUGCCGGUGACAAACCGGAGGAAGGUGGGGAUGACGUCAAAUCAUCAUACCCCUUAUGACCUGGGCUACACACGUGCUACAAUGGAUGGUACAAAGAGCUGCGAACCCGCGAGGGUAAGCCAAUCUCAUAAAGCCAUUCUCAGUUCGGAUUGUAGG
RNAcentral lists this ribosomal RNA (529 nucleotides) under uncultured bacterium. Its description in RNAcentral is "bacterial SSU rRNA". It matches the Rfam family "Bacterial small subunit ribosomal RNA", at positions 777 to 1304 of the family's 1533-position model. The record is from RNAcentral.